This 243-nucleotide ribosomal RNA is filed under the name Cryptomonas paramaecium. Its description in RNAcentral is "Cryptomonas paramecium partial Eukaryotic large subunit ribosomal RNA". It matches the Rfam family "Eukaryotic large subunit ribosomal RNA", at positions 794 to 1038 of the family's 3401-position model. Lineage: Eukaryota; Cryptophyceae; Cryptomonadales; Cryptomonadaceae. The record is from RNAcentral.
GGAAGAGCAUGAAUACUGAGACCCGAAAGAUAGUGAACUAUGUCUGGGUAGGAUGAAGCCAGAGGAAACUCUGGUGGAAGUCCGAAGGCGUUCUGACGUGCAAAUCGAUGCUCAAACCUGGAUAUAGGGGCGAAAGACCAAUCGAACUAUCUAGUAGCUGGUUCCCUCCGAAAUUUCCCUCAGGAUAGCUGGAGCAUUUACAGUCUUAUCAGGUAAAGCGAAUGAUUAGAGGAUUCGGGAAAU